AUGGCCAAGGUUAAUACCGGCGCCGCCUUGUUGUCUCUGUGCCUGUUGCUGGCCUGUUCUGCCGGAGGCACAACGGCCGCCGAUGUGGACGUGGAGGCCACCGUGAGGACAGAAGUAGAGAAUGCCAUCAAGAGCAACCCUGGCGUCGGCGCCGCCCUCAUCCGGCUGGUGUUCCACGACUGCUGGGUUAAUGGCUGCGAUGGAUCGGUGCUCUUGGACCAGACGCCGUCCGGCAGCAAUACCGAGAAGAAGGCGAUCAACAACAUCGGCCUAGACGGCUUCAGCCUCGUCGACACCAUCAAGUCCAAACUGGGCAACAACGUCUCGUGCGCCGACAUAGUCGUCUUCGCCGGGCGUGACGCGGCCAGAUACCUAAGCGGCGGCAAAAUCGCCUACUCUGUUCCCUCAGGGCGCAAGGACGGCAUUGUCUCAUCGGCCGCCGCCGCAGACGCCAUCCUCCCGCAAUCCACCUUCGAGUUCCAGCAGCUCAAGGACAACUUCGCCAAGAAGAAUAACAUCCGCGACAUGAGCCUGAAGUUCCAGAACGACUCCGGCUACGACACUACGGGGGUGAACACCGCGGCGAAGGGCGCCCUGGACAACAGCUACUACCACGCCAACCUCCAGAACAGGGUGCUUUUUAAGUCCGACUGGGUUAUGCGCACGGACAUCAAAGCCGGGGGCGACAUGGCCGAGUACAUGAACAAUGCCACCAAGUGGAACAAUGACUUCGCCGCCACCAUGGUCAAGCUCAGCAAGCUCCCGGCCGAGGGUAGUACCCAUUACGAGAUAAGGAAGAACUGCAGAGUCACCAACCAGAACCUAGGUUUUUAA
RNAcentral lists this ribosomal RNA (834 nucleotides) under Triticum aestivum (bread wheat). RNAcentral describes it as "partial small subunit ribosomal RNA". Lineage: Eukaryota; Viridiplantae; Streptophyta; Magnoliopsida; Poales; Poaceae. The record is from RNAcentral.